Molecule: ribosomal RNA, 1526 nt
Filed under: Bacteroides thetaiotaomicron
Lineage: Bacteria; Pseudomonadati; Bacteroidota; Bacteroidia; Bacteroidales; Bacteroidaceae
Description: bacterial SSU rRNA
Rfam family: Bacterial small subunit ribosomal RNA
Source: RNAcentral
ACAAUGAAGAGUUUGAUCCUGGCUCAGGAUGAACGCUAGCUACAGGCUUAACACAUGCAAGUCGAGGGGCAGCAUUUCAGUUUGCUUGCAAACUGGAGAUGGCGACCGGCGCACGGGUGAGUAACACGUAUCCAACCUGCCGAUAACUCGGGGAUAGCCUUUCGAAAGAAAGAUUAAUACCCGAUGGCAUAAUUAGACCGCAUGGUCUUAUUAUUAAAGAAUUUCGGUUAUCGAUGGGGAUGCGUUCCAUUAGGCAGUUGGUGAGGUAACGGCUCACCAAACCUUCGAUGGAUAGGGGUUCUGAGAGGAAGGUCCCCACAUUGGAACUGAGACACGGUCCAAACUCCUACGGGAGGCAGCAGUGAGGAAUAUUGGUCAAUGGGCGCAGGCCUGAACCAGCCAAGUAGCGUGAAGGAUGACUGCCCUAUGGGUUGUAAACUUCUUUUAUAUGGGAAUAAAGUUUUCCACGUGUGGAAUUUUGUAUGUACCAUAUGAAUAAGGAUCGGCUAACUCCGUGCCAGCAGCCGCGGUAAUACGGAGGAUCCGAGCGUUAUCCGGAUUUAUUGGGUUUAAAGGGAGCGUAGGUGGACAGUUAAGUCAGUUGUGAAAGUUUGCGGCUCAACCGUAAAAUUGCAGUUGAUACUGGCUGUCUUGAGUACAGUAGAGGUGGGCGGAAUUCGUGGUGUAGCGGUGAAAUGCUUAGAUAUCACGAAGAACUCCGAUUGCGAAGGCAGCUCACUGGACUGCAACUGACACUGAUGCUCGAAAGUGUGGGUAUCAAACAGGAUUAGAUACCCUGGUAGUCCACACAGUAAACGAUGAAUACUCGCUGUUUGCGAUAUACAGUAAGCGGCCAAGCGAAAGCAUUAAGUAUUCCACCUGGGGAGUACGCCGGCAACGGUGAAACUCAAAGGAAUUGACGGGGGCCGCACAAGCGGAGGAACAUGUGGUUUAAUUCGAUGAUACGCGAGGAACCUUACCCGGGCUUAAAUUGCAUUUGAAUAUAUUGGAAACAGUAUAGCCGUAAGGCAAAUGUGAAGGUGCUGCAUGGUUGUCGUCAGCUCGUGCCGUGAGGUGUCGGCUUAAGUGCCAUAACGAGCGCAACCCUUAUCUUUAGUUACUAACAGGUCAUGCUGAGGACUCUAGAGAGACUGCCGUCGUAAGAUGUGAGGAAGGUGGGGAUGACGUCAAAUCAGCACGGCCCUUACGUCCGGGGCUACACACGUGUUACAAUGGGGGUACAGAAGGCAGCUACCUGGUGACAGGAUGCUAAUCCCAAAAGCCUCUCUCAGUUCGGAUCGAAGUCUGCAACCCGACUUCGUGAAGCUGGAUUCGCUAGUAAUCGCGCAUCAGCCAUGGCGCGGUGAAUACGUUCCCGGGCCUUGUACACACCGCCCGUCAAGCCAUGAAAGCCGGGGGUACCUGAAGUACGUAACCGCAAGGAGCGUCCUAGGGUAAAACUGGUAAUUGGGGCUAAGUCGUAACAAGGUAGCCGUACCGGAAGGUGCGGCUGGAACACCUCCUUU